This 235-nucleotide ribosomal RNA is filed under the name uncultured bacterium. RNAcentral describes it as "partial 16S ribosomal RNA". It matches the Rfam family "Bacterial small subunit ribosomal RNA", at positions 28 to 260 of the family's 1533-position model. The record is from RNAcentral.
GACGAACGCUGGCGGCGUGCUUAACACAUGCAAGUCGAGCGGUAAGGCCCGUUUCGGGGGUACACGAGCGGCGAACGGGUGAGUAACACGUGGGUGACCUGCCCUCAGCUCUGGGAUAAGCCUGGGAAACCGGGUCUAAUACUGGAUAUGACUCCCCAUGACGCAUGUUGGUGGGGUGGAAAGCCUUGUGCGGCUGAGGAUGGGCCCGCGGCCUAUCAGCUUGUUGGUGGGGUGA